RNAcentral lists this unclassified non-coding RNA (267 nucleotides) under fungal sp. Its description in RNAcentral is "partial internal transcribed spacer region". The stretch from base 1 to 46 matches the Rfam family "Eukaryotic small subunit ribosomal RNA", at positions 1786 to 1831 of the family's 1831-position model. Lineage: Eukaryota; Fungi. The record is from RNAcentral.
AAGUCGUAACAAGGUUUCCGUAGGUGAACCUGCGGAAGGAUCAUUAUUGAAACUUUCAAUUACGUAUGUGAACCAGCUGAAGCGUGGCGUUAGUCGCACAUGGAUGCUAAAGACUUAGGUCGGACGCUAACUAUGUGAAGACUAGCUCAUGAUAAGCGUAACAACUGGCGGACUUUGAGCCGCCAGUCAUUUACCCCAACCUCAUCAUGAUAUUAUCUGAAAACGUUUAAUUAACGACAACUUUUAGCAACGGAUCUCUAGGCUCUC